This 1336-nucleotide ribosomal RNA is filed under the name uncultured bacterium. RNAcentral describes it as "bacterial SSU rRNA". It matches the Rfam family "Bacterial small subunit ribosomal RNA", at positions 28 to 1381 of the family's 1533-position model. The record is from RNAcentral.
GACGAACGCUGGCGGCGCGCCUAACACAUGCAAGUCGAACGAGCGAGAGUGAGUUGGCUUUCUCAGCGAGUGGCGAACGGGUGAGUAACGCGUGAGGAACCUGCCUCAAAGAGGGGGACAACAGUUGGAAACGACUGCUAAUACCGCAUAAGCCCACAGGUCGGCAUCGACCAGAGGGAAAAGGAGCAAUCCGCUUUGAGAUGGCCUCGCGUCCGAAUUAGCUAGUUGGUGAGGUAACGGCCCACCAAGGCAACGAUCGGUAGCCGGAACUGAGAGGUUGAAACGGCCACAUUGGGACUGAGACACGGCCCAGAACUCCUACGGGAGGCAGCAGUGGGGAAUAUUGCACAAUGGGGGAAACCCUGAUGCAGCGACGCCGCGUGGAGGAAGAAGGUCUUCGGAUUGUAAACUCCUGUUGUUGAGGAAAGAUAAUGACGGUACUCAACAAGGAAGUGACGGCUAACUACGUGCCAGCAGCCGCGGUAAAACGUAGGUCACAAGCGUUGUCCGGAAUUACUGGGUGUAAAGGGAGCGCAGGCGGGAAGACAAGUUGGAAGUGAAAUCUAUGGGCUCAACCCAUAAACUGCUUUCAAAACUGUUUUUCUUGAGUAGUGCAGAGGUAGGCGGAAUUCCCGGUGUAGCGGUGGAAUGCGUAGAUAUCGGGAGGAACACCAGUGGCGAAGGCGGCCUACUGGGCACCAACUGACGCUGAGGCUCGAAAGUGUGGGUAGCAAACAGGAUUAGAUACCCUGGUAGUCCACACCGUAAACGAUGAUUACUAGGUGUUGGAGGAUUGACCCCUUCAGUGCCGCAGUUAACACAAUAAGCAAUCCACCUGGGGAGUACGACCGCAAGGUUGAAACUCAAAGGAAUUGACGGGGGCCCGCACAAGCAGUGGAGUAUGUGGUUUAAUUCGACGCAACGCGAAGAACCUUACCAAGUCUUGACAUCCUGCGACGAUGCUGGAAACAGUAUUUUCCUUCGGGACGCAGAGACAGGUGGUGCAUGGUUGUCGUCAGCUCGUGUCGUGAGAUGUUGGGUUAAGUCCCGCAACGAGCGCAACCCUUACUGUCAGUUACUACGCAAGAGGACUCUGGCAGGACUGCCGUUGACAAAACGGAGGAAGGUGGGGAUGACGUCAAAUCAUCAUGCCCUUUAUGACUUGGGCUACACACGUACUACAAUGGCGUUAAACAAAGAGAAGCAAGACCGCGAGGUGGAGCAAAACUCAGAAACAACGUCCCAGUUCGGACUGCAGGCUGCAACUCGCCUGCACGAAGUCGGAAUUGCUAGUAAUCGUGGAUCAGCAUGCCACGGUGAAUACGUUCCCGGGCCU